Molecule: ribosomal RNA, 253 nt
Filed under: uncultured bacterium
Lineage: Bacteria
Description: partial 16S ribosomal RNA
Rfam family: Bacterial small subunit ribosomal RNA
Source: RNAcentral
UACGGAGGGGGCUAGCGUUGUUCGGAAUCACUGGGCGUAAAGCGCACGUAGGCGGCUUUGCAAGUCAGAGGUGAAAGCCCGGGGCUCAACCCCGGAAUUGCCUUUGAGACUGCAUCGCUUGAACGUCGGAGAGGUGAGUGGAAUUCCGAGUGUAGAGGUGAAAUUCGUAGAUAUUCGGAAGAACACCAGUGGCGAAGGCGGCUCACUGGACGACUGUUGACGCUGAGGUGCGAAAGCGUGGGGAGCAAACAGG